Molecule: ribosomal RNA, 512 nt
Filed under: uncultured bacterium
Lineage: Bacteria
Description: partial 16S ribosomal RNA
Rfam family: Bacterial small subunit ribosomal RNA
Source: RNAcentral
GAUGAACGCUGGCGGCGUGCCUAAUACAUGCAAGUCGAACGAAACUUCUUUAUCACCGAGUGCUUGCACUCACCGAUAAAGAGUUGAGUGGCGAACGGGUGAGUAACACGUGGGCAACCUGCCCAAAAGAGGGGGAUAACACUUGGAAACAGGUGCUAAUACCGCAUAACCAUAGUUACCGCAUGGUAACUAUGUAAAAGGUGGCUAUACUACCGCUUUUGGAUGGGCCCGCGGCGCAUUAGCUAGUUGGUAGGGUAAAGGCUUACCAAGGCAAUGAUGCGUAGCCGAAUUGAGAGGUUGAUCGGCCACAUUGGGUCUGAGACACGGCCCAAACUCCUACGGGAGGCAGCAGUAGGGAAUCUUCCACAAUGGGCGAAAGCCUGAUGGAGCAACGCCGCGUGGGUGAAGAAGGUCUUCGGAUCGUAAAACCCUGUUGUUAGAGAAGAAAGUGCGUGAGAGUAACUGUUCACGUUUCGACGGUAUCUAACCAGAAAGCCACGGCUAACUACGUG